This 465-nucleotide ribosomal RNA is filed under the name uncultured bacterium. Its description in RNAcentral is "bacterial SSU rRNA". It matches the Rfam family "Bacterial small subunit ribosomal RNA", at positions 338 to 795 of the family's 1533-position model. The record is from RNAcentral.
CCUACGGGGCGCACCAGUGGGGAAUAUUGCACAAUGGGCGCAAGCCUGAUGCAGCCAUGCCGCGUGUGUGAAGAAGGCCUUCGGGUUGUAAAGCACUUUCAGCGGGGAGGAAGGCAUUAAGGUUAAUAACCUUAGUGAUUGACGUUACCCGCAGAAGAAGCACCGGCUAACUCCGUGCCAGCAGCCGCGGUAAUACGGAGGGUGCAAGCGUUAAUCGGAAUUACUGGGCGUAAAGCGCACGCAGGCGGUCUGUCAAGUCGGAUGUGAAAUCCCCGGGCUCAACCUGGGAACUGCAUCUGAUACUGGCAAGCUUGAGUCUCGUAGAGGGGGGUAGAAUUCCAGGUGUAGCGGUGAAAUGCGUAGAGAUCUGGAGGAAUACCGGUGGCGAAGGCGGCCCCCUGGACGAAGACUGACGCUCAGGUGCGAAAGCGUGGGGAGCAAACAGGAUUAGAUACCCGCGUAGUC